GAGUUUGAUCAUGGCUCAGAUUGAACGCUGGCGGCAUGCCUUACACAUGCAAGUCGAACGGCAGCACGGGAGCUUGCUCCUGGUGGCGAGUGGCGAACGGGUGAGUAAUGCAUCGGAACGUAUCCCGGAGUGGGGGAUAACGUAGCGAAAGUUACGCUAAUACCGCAUAUUCUGUGAGCAGGAAAGCGGGGGACCUUCGGGCCUCGCGCUCUUGGAGCGGCCGAUGUCGGAUUAGCUAGUUGGUGAGGUAAAGGCUCACCAAGGCGACGAUCCGUAGCAGGUCUGAGAGGAUGAUCUGCCACACUGGAACUGAGACACGGUCCAGACUCCUACGGGAGGCAGCAGUGGGAAUUUUGGACAAUGGGGGCAACCCUGAUCCAGCCAUGCCGCGUGAGUGAAGAAGGCCUCGG
This 410-nucleotide ribosomal RNA is filed under the name bacterium enrichment culture clone ALO1_GLFRUDD03HCEK9. Its description in RNAcentral is "bacterial SSU rRNA". It matches the Rfam family "Bacterial small subunit ribosomal RNA", at positions 9 to 420 of the family's 1533-position model. The record is from RNAcentral.